UACGGAGGGGCUAGCGUUGUCCGAAGUUACUGGGCGUAAAGCGCGCGUAGGCGGGUUGGUAAGUCCGCUGUGAAAGCCCGGAGCUUAACUCCGGAGGGUCGGUGGAUACUGCCAGUCUUGAAGGUGCUAGGGGGAGAUGGAAUUACCGGUGUAGCGGUGAAAUGCGCAGAUAUCAGGAGGAACACCGAUGGCGAAGGCAGGUCUCUGGGCCACUACUGACGCUGAGAAGCGAAAGCAUGGGGAGCGAACAGG
RNAcentral lists this ribosomal RNA (252 nucleotides) under uncultured bacterium. Its description in RNAcentral is "partial 16S ribosomal RNA". It matches the Rfam family "Bacterial small subunit ribosomal RNA", at positions 524 to 776 of the family's 1533-position model. The record is from RNAcentral.